GAUGAAGGUUUUCGGAUCGUAAAACUCUGUUGUUAGGGAAAAACAAGUACCGUUCAAAUAGGGCGGUACCUUGACGGUACCUAACCAAAAAGCCACGGCUAACUACGUGCCACCACCCGCGGUAAUACUUAGGUGGCAAGCGUUGUCCGGAAUUAUUGGGCGUAAAGCGCGCGCAGGCGGUUUCUUAAUUCUGAUGUGAAAGCCCCCGGCUCAACCGGGGAGGGUCAUUGGAAACUGGGGAACUUGAGUGCAGAAAAGGAAAGUGGAAUUCCACGUGUAGCGGUGAAAUGCUUAGAGAUGUGAAGGAACACCAGUGCCAAAGGCAACUCUCUGGUCUGUAACUGACGCUAAGGCGCG
This 357-nucleotide ribosomal RNA is filed under the name uncultured Bacillus sp. RNAcentral's name for it is "bacterial SSU rRNA". It matches the Rfam family "Bacterial small subunit ribosomal RNA", at positions 407 to 755 of the family's 1533-position model. Lineage: Bacteria; Bacillati; Bacillota; Bacilli; Caryophanales; Bacillaceae. The record is from RNAcentral.